Molecule: ribosomal RNA, 1123 nt
Filed under: uncultured bacterium
Lineage: Bacteria
Description: bacterial SSU rRNA
Rfam family: Bacterial small subunit ribosomal RNA
Source: RNAcentral
AUUGAUUUUAUGCUUGCAUAAAUGAUUUUUGGAUUCGGAGCGAGUGGCGAACUGGUGAGUAACACGUGGGUAACCUGCCCCGAAGCGGGGGAUAACAUUUGGAAACAAGUGCUAAUACCGCAUAAUUAGUUGGAACCGCAUGGUUCCAACUUGAAAGAUGGCUCUGCUAUCACUUUGGGAUGGACCCGCGCCGUAUUAGUUAGUUGGUGAGAUAAAAGCCCACCAAGACGAUGAUACGUAGCCGACCUGAGAGGGUAAUCGGCCACAUUGGGACUGAGACACGGCCCAGACUCCUACGGGAGGCAGCAGUAGGGAAUCUUCCACAAUGGACGAAAGUCUGAUGGAGCAACGCCGCGUGAGUGAUGAAGGUUUUCGGGUCGUAAAACUCUGUUGUUAAAGAAGAACAAGUGUUAGAGUAACUGUUAACACUUUGACGGUAUUUAACCAGAAAGCCACGGCUAACUACGUGCCAGCAGCCGCGGUAAUACGUAGGUGGCAAGCGUUGUCCGGAUUUAUUGGGCGUAAAGCGAGCGCAGGCGGUUUUGUAAGUCUGCUGUGAAAGCCCUCAGCUCAACUGAGGAAGUGCAGUGGAAACUACAAAACUUGAGUACAGAAGAGGAAAGUGGAACUCCAUGUGUAGCGGUGAAAUGCGUAGAUAUAUGGAAGAACACCAGUGGCGAAGGCGGCUUUCUGGUCUGUUACUGACGCUGAGGCUCGAAAGCAUGGGUAGCGAACAGGAUUAGAUACCCUGGUAGUCCAUGCCGUAAACGAUGAAUACUAGGUGUUGGAGGGUUUCCGCCCUUCAGUGCCGCAGCUAACGCAUUAAGUAUUCCGCCUGGGGAGUACGACCGCAAGGUUGAAACUCAAAGGAAUUGACGGGGGCCCGCACAAGUGGUGGAGCAUGUGGUUUAAUUCGAUGCUACGCGAAGAACCUUACCAGCUCUUGACAUCUUCUGCCAACCCAAGAGAUUGGGCGUUCCCUUCGGGGACAGAAUGACAGGUGGUGCAUGGUUGUCGUCAGCUCGUGUCGUGAGAUGUUGGGUUAAGUCCCGCAACGAGCGCAACCCUUAUUAUUAGUUGCCAGCAUUUAGUUGGGCACUCUAGUGAGACUGCCGGUGAUAAA